AGAGUUUGAUCCUGGCUCAGAUUGAACGCUGGCGGCAGGCUUAACACAUGCAAGUCGAGCGGUAACAGAUCUAGCUUGCUAGAUGCUGACGAGCGGCGGACGGGUGAGUAACGCGUAGAAAACUGCCCAGUAGUGGGGGAUAGCCCAGAGAAAUUUGGAUUAAUACCGCAUACGCCCUACGGGGGAAAGGGGGCUUUGGCUCUCGCUAUUGGAUGUGUCUGCGUGGGAUUAGCUAGUUGGUGAGGUAAGGGCUCACCAAGGCGACGAUCCGUAGCUGGUCUGAGAGGACGAUCAGCCACACUGGGACUGAGACACGGCCCAGACUCCUACGGGAGGCAGCAGUGGGGAAUAUUGGACAAUGGGGGCAACCCUGAUCCAGCAAUGCCGCGUGUGUGAAGAAGGCCUGCGGGUUGUAAAGCACUUUCAGUAGAGAAGAAAAGCCUAGGGAUAAUACCCCUGGUCUUGACGUUACCUACAGAAGAAGCUCCGCUAACU
RNAcentral lists this ribosomal RNA (495 nucleotides) under uncultured bacterium. RNAcentral describes it as "bacterial SSU rRNA". It matches the Rfam family "Bacterial small subunit ribosomal RNA", at positions 8 to 502 of the family's 1533-position model. The record is from RNAcentral.